UACGUAGGGGGCUAGCGUUGUCCGGAUUUAUUGGGCGUAAAGAGCGUGUAGGCGGCCAGGUAGGUCUGCUGUGAAAACUCGAGGCUCAACCUCGAGACGUCGGCGGAAACCAUCUGGCUAGAGUCCGGAAGAGGAGAGUGGAAUUCCUGGUGUAGCGGCGAAAUGCGCAGAUAUCAGGAGGAACACCAAUAGCGAAGGCAGCUCGCUGGGACGUUACUGACACUGAGGCGCGAAAGCGUGGGGAGCGAACAGG
RNAcentral lists this ribosomal RNA (253 nucleotides) under uncultured bacterium. RNAcentral's name for it is "partial 16S ribosomal RNA". It matches the Rfam family "Bacterial small subunit ribosomal RNA", at positions 524 to 776 of the family's 1533-position model. The record is from RNAcentral.